RNAcentral lists this ribosomal RNA (253 nucleotides) under uncultured bacterium. RNAcentral's name for it is "partial 16S ribosomal RNA". It matches the Rfam family "Bacterial small subunit ribosomal RNA", at positions 524 to 776 of the family's 1533-position model. The record is from RNAcentral.
UACGGAGGGAGCUAGCGUUGUUCGGAAUUACUGGGCGUAAAGCGCACGUAGGCGGCGAUUCAAGUCAGAGGUGAAAGCCCGGGGCUCAACUCCGGAACUGCCUUUAAGACUGCAUCGCUUGAAUCCGGGAGAGGUGAGUGGAAUUCCGAGUGUAGAGGUGAAAUUCGUAGAUAUUCGGAAGAACACCAGUGGCGAAGGCGGCUCACUGGACCGGUAUUGACGCUGAGGUGCGAAAGCGUGGGGAGCAAACAGG